AGAAUUAGCCAAGGAAAUUGGAGAAGACAAGGCUGAACUCGAGGCAUUGAAGAGAGAAUCACAUUCACUCAGGGAGGAAGUAGAUGAAGAAAGAAAGAUGUUGCAGAUGGCUGAGGUUUGGCGUGAGGAACGGGUUCAGAUGAAACUAGUUGAUGCUAAGGUGACACUCGAAGAGAAGUAUUCCCAAAUGAAUAGACUAAUUGCAGAGUUAGAGUCUUUCCUAAGUUCUAGAGGUAUGAACCCCGACGAGGAAGUGAUCGAAAGAGCUGAGCAACUCAAACAGGAAGCUGCUUCGGUGAAUAUUCGUGAUAUCAGUGAGUUCACUUAUGAACC
Molecule: unclassified non-coding RNA, 333 nt
Filed under: Hevea brasiliensis (rubber tree)
Lineage: Eukaryota; Viridiplantae; Streptophyta; Magnoliopsida; Malpighiales; Euphorbiaceae
Source: RNAcentral